This 492-nucleotide ribosomal RNA is filed under the name uncultured bacterium. RNAcentral describes it as "partial 16S ribosomal RNA". It matches the Rfam family "Bacterial small subunit ribosomal RNA", at positions 29 to 507 of the family's 1533-position model. The record is from RNAcentral.
AGUGAACGCUGGCGGUAGGCCUAACACAUGCAAGUCGAACGGCAGCACAGUAAGAGCUUGCUCUUACGGGUGGCGAGUGGCGGACGGGUGAGGAAUACAUCGGAAUCUACUUUUUCGUGGGGGAUAACGUAGGGAAACUUACGCUAAUACCGCAUACGACCUACGGGUGAAAGCAGGGGAUCUUCGGACCUUGCGCGUUUGAAUGAGCCGAUGUCGGAUUAGCUAGUUGGCGGGGUAAAGGCCCACCAAGGCGACGAUCCGUAGCUGGUCUGAGAGGAUGAUCAGCCACACUGGAACUGAGACACGGUCCAGACUCCUACGGGAGGCAGCAGUGGGGAAUAUUGGACAAUGGGCGCAAGCCUGAUCCAGCCAUACCGAGUGGGUGAAGAAGGCCUUCGGGUUGUAAAGCCCUUUUGUUGGGAAAGAAAAGCAGCAGGUUAAUACCCCGCUGUUCUGACGGUACCCAAAGAAUAAGCACCGGCUAACUUCGUG